Molecule: ribosomal RNA, 155 nt
Filed under: uncultured Bacteroidota bacterium
Lineage: Bacteria; Pseudomonadati; Bacteroidota
Description: uncultured Bacteroidetes bacterium partial 16S ribosomal RNA
Rfam family: Bacterial small subunit ribosomal RNA
Source: RNAcentral
UAAGGAAUAUUGGUCAAUGGGCGCAAGCCUGAACCAGCCAUGCCGCGUGCAGGAAGACGGCCCUAUGGGUUGUAAACUGCUUUUGUCAGGGAAUAAACCCCCGCUCGUGAGCGGGGCUGAAGGUACCUGAAGAAUAAGCAUCGGCUAACUCCGUG